This is an RNA transcript of Teleopsis dalmanni, 645 nucleotides long. RefSeq lists it as uncharacterized. Lineage: Eukaryota; Metazoa; Arthropoda; Insecta; Diptera; Diopsidae. The transcript has 6 exons. The record is from RefSeq and is a predicted model, not a curated record.
GUGACUCGAGUUAAAUAUUAUAUUUUUAAGAUACAAAAUUUAAUUUAAUCGUAAAGUUGGAGUGUGUGUGACUGUGUCUCUAGGACUAAACUGAGAUGAAUACCAAAAUUUUGUGUCUUAUUGUUUUAUUUCUGUCUUUAACUAAGGCAGAUGAAGACGAGGAACCAAAUCUGAAAAUGGACGAUAUUAUCGAAGCGUUGGAACCUUUUACUUCUAGUUGUGAACCGAAACCUAAAAAAGAACACAUAAAGGAAAUGUUACAAAUGAAAAAAAAUCCCCAACGGGAGACGAAAUGUUUGCGUUAUUGUUUAAUGAAACAAUUUGAUAUGAUGAACGAAAGUGAAACUGAAAUUGUGAUCGAUAAAGCUGUGGAAUUAAUGAGCAUGGGAAUACAAAAUAAAUUAGGGGAAAAAGAAUUAAAGGAAUCAGCUGGAACAUGUGCAGUAAAGGCCAAAAAAAUUACUGAUAAAUGUGAGUUGGGAUAUGUUUUCAGUAUGUGCGUUGUAGAGGAGCUUGAGAAACGAGGUUUCAAAAUGCCACAGAUCAAGGAGUAAAUCCAAAUUUCUGUUACUUCAAAAAGACUAGUAUACUAGUAACUUUUUAAUUUGUUUUUCAUUUUAUUUGUUGCUCUUUGAAAAAUGCUCC